UUUUCUGGUGCAGCAAACCUGGGCUCGACGUCAAGGGUUCCCGGCCACUGAACUCGAACUUCAAAACUUCAAAUUAGGGCCAAAAUCAGAAAAGAAGGUUGCCAAUUUUGAAAUCCCUCUUUUUUUGGGGGAGUUUUCUUUCUCAUAAAUUUCUUUCUUACAAGAUCGAAAAUUUCUAUCACAAUUUUAUGCUUUUCUUUUCAAUUUUUUCACUCGUUCCCUUUUCCAGAUCUUGAACCUUAUUUCUCUUAUUUUUUUAUUUUGCUUUGAAAAUUCAGCCUAUUUUUGUUAAUUUUCGACCUUCUAAUUAUAGGUGCGGAUCCGAAUUUCAAAAUUUAGAUUCAAAACCAAUAUCUUAAUGGAAACCAACGUUGGAUAAAGAUGACGAAAUUAGAUUCAAACCUUUGAAAGGGACGAUUCAUCUCUUGAUUUGGGCGAAUCACAGGUCUUUAAAGCGGAUUUGAAACUUAUUUUUAUUGUUAUAUGGAUUUGGGACUGAUUUUCUGUUCUUGAAAAGAUUUAUGGGCUGGAGGGGCUGA
This 539-nucleotide long non-coding RNA is filed under the name Capsicum annuum. RNAcentral's name for it is "long non-coding RNA (CANN_LNC011030)". Lineage: Eukaryota; Viridiplantae; Streptophyta; Magnoliopsida; Solanales; Solanaceae. The record is from RNAcentral.